Molecule: long non-coding RNA, 3396 nt
Filed under: Astyanax mexicanus (Mexican tetra)
Lineage: Eukaryota; Metazoa; Chordata; Actinopteri; Characiformes; Acestrorhamphidae
Description: lncRNA (ENSAMXG00005017978.1)
Source: RNAcentral
CUGUUACUCAGCAGUAAUGAGCUCAGUGCUGUAUCUGCUCUGUAGGGAUCGCGUUUCCUUUAAUUCAGUCUUUUGAGUCACAGGAGUGACGUAAUUUACGGGAUGUCAAACCCGUCCAAGCCCCGCCCGUUUUGUGUUAGGGGGGCGGGGCUCGGCGGCUCCUUUUCUUGUUCAUGUCGGUCUUUCUGUUUUUAUAACAUGUGAAGAGGGAUUACUGUGAGGACACGCCAUGCAGUUUAUUACUGUUAUUACUGCUCUUAUCCUCUCCUCUCUGCCUGACUGGGGAUGCUUCUCUGAGACUGUCCGUACACUGAGCCAUGUGGAGAGAUACAAUGUAAUAAGACUUCAGAAACUGAGCAGCCGGAGCCGGAGGAGCAUCUCUAACCAGGAACCAGAGCAGUAUCCUGAGAAUCUUCGCUAUCAGUUGUUCAUGGAUGGAAAUAGUCACACAAUUAAUUUGGAGAAAAACAGACUGCUGGUUGGACAUAAUUACACUGAAAUAUUUUAUAAAGAGGAUGGAUCAACUGUGAACACGUUUCCCAGUCUUGAGGAUCACUGUUAUUAUCACGGCCAUAUUGAGGGUAUGGAGGACUCGUCAGUUAGUGUUGGAAUCUGCUCUGGAAUGAGAGGUUUUGUUCGGGCUGAGCAGCAGUUGUACCUGAUUGAGCCCUUGAGUGACAGCACUGAGGGAGACCAUGCCCUCUAUAAGCAAGAAGAUCUGAGGAGGAAUAAGAGAGGGACAAAUAACACUGUUUACGACCAUGAACCCAGAUUGGCAGCCCUUUUCAAACGCAGUAGCAGGAAAGGCAGUUCUGCAUUUCGUACAAGGAGAUAUGUGGAGUUGUUCCUUGUCGUGGACAAUGCUGAGUACAAAAACUUUGACUCAAACGCUGGUAGAGUUCGAGCGAGGAUGCUGGAAGUCAUGAAUCAUGUUGAUAAGCUGUAUCGUCCACAUAAUAUUCGGGUGAUGCUGGUGGGGUUGGAAGUGUGGACAGCAGGAGAUCAGUUUUUGGUCAGUGUGAGUUCUGAUGACACUCUUACCAGGUUUAUUGAGUGGCGCAAGGACAACCUGUUGAAAAGAGUCAAGCAUGAUAAUGCGCAGUUUGUGACUGGAAUAGACUUUUUGGGUGAAACUGUGGGACUAGCAAACAAGUAUGCUAUGUGUGCUGUAGGCUCUGGAGGCGUUAAUCAGGAUCAUAACUCAGAUCCUGUGGGCUUGGCCGCCACCAUUGCACACGAGAUGGGACACAACAUGGGCAUGUCCCAUGAUGGGUCACACUGCAGCUGUGGUCUGUUCAACCUUGACUGCAUCAUGACGGAACGCGUGGGCAACAGAAACUUUCCGCAGGUCUUCAGUGACUGCAGCCUGGAUGAGCUGAGUGUGUUUCUGGAGAAUGCCAACCCGAGCUGCCUGCUGGAUCCCCCCCGCUCAGACAGGCUGUACCAGGGCUCUGUCUGCGGCAAUGCUUUCCUGGACCCUGGAGAGGAGUGUGACUGUGGAAGUGUGGAGGAGUGUGAGAACCCAUGCUGUAACCCCAGAACCUGCACAUUUACGGAGGGUUCUCAGUGUGCGGAGGGAGACUGCUGUGAGAACUGCCAGAUAAAACAGGCUGGCAGUGUGUGCAGGGCCUCAGCGAGUGACUGUGAUCUGGAGGAGUACUGCACUGGACUGUCAGAGAAGUGUCCUGAAGAUGACUUUAAAAUGAACGGUAUCCCCUGUGGCUUUGGUAGCAGUUACUGCUAUAAUGGCCAAUGCCCAACUCAUCUCCAGCACUGUCAGAGGCUGUGGGGAAAAGACGCUAAAGUGGCUUCAGACACUUGCUUCUUCAAGAACACCUUUGGGCAUAGUGAUUCUCACUGUGGAAGGACUAAAGAUGGCUUUAAACCCUGUGAAGUAGAAGAUAUGCACUGUGGAAGUAUAUUUUGCGUUGGAGGAAAUACGCUCCCUGUCACCGGGCUGAAAGCUACUCUGCAGAUUAAAGAUAAGAUCUGUAACAUAGUCGGCGAGCGGUUCGAGGAAGAUGAACUGAGCAUGGUGCCGACGGGAACCAAAUGUGGGCAUAAUAAAGUGUGUUUUGCUAAUGUGUGCCAAGAUUUGAAAGUGUACGGUAUGAGAGACGACUGCUCGUCAAAGUGCAGCGGCCGCGGGGUUUGUGAUCACAGGAAACAGUGCCACUGUGAUUCUGGUUGGGCUCCACCGUACUGUGAUAUCAAAUACACUGACCUGCCUUCUGGAAAAGAGGCAAUCAUCGGCGUUUCAGCAGUGGUGGGAGUGCUGCUGCUGCUGCUGGCUGCAGGUUUUGGAGGUUGGAUUUAUCAUAAAAGGAAAACGAACACCAGAUCUAGUCAGAACAUUAAUGAAGAGCAGUUGAAUCCUGGUUAUAGAAAACGGCCUCAGAUCAGCCAACCUACUUUCAUCGAGUCAACUGCAACUCAGGCAUGCACCCCCCUUACAGUCCUAAUUGCCCCCACACAGACUGCAGAGGAUGAAGUGAAAAUUGCACGUAGGCCUCCAACCAUACCAAGAAGAUGACUAGUGGAGGAAUCAUCAUGUAAAUCCACAAUAGACUGCUCAGUCUCUACCUUACAGCACUGUGGAGGAUAGCUUGAGUGACACACAGGAUCUGGGUCUGUGUGCUUUUGUUUUAAUUCCGAGAGCAGGAUCACGUUGGAACCUGCUUAGAAUAUGUGUGGUGCACUCAGCUAGACUUGAAUGUAUAAGAAAGAGUUUUAGACUACAGAUUUAUAGACAGGCAACCACUUUAAAGACCAAACCUGCAUUUUUGUUGGGUUUUUGUUUGUUUUGAUCCACACUGUCUUAAUGUAAAGCACUAAAUGUACUGUAUAUUAUUAUUUAUUAUUAUUUUAUAUUCAUUGGCACUUUUGUAUUAUGUGUAUAUUUAAAAACUGUGAAUUUUUUACUUUUGACUUUUAUGAGUCGAAAUACACUGCCUGGCCAAAAAAAAAAAAAAAAGUCGUCACCUGGAUUUAACUAAGAAAAUGAUCUGGGGUUGCUGCAUUUGGUCAGGUCUAGGUUCAGCAACAGUAUGUGCUGAAAGAAUGAGGUCAGCUGACUACCUGAAUAUACUGAAUGGCCAGGUUAUUCAAUCAAUGGACUUUUUCUAUCCUGAUGACACAGACAUAUUCCAAGGAUUAAUGGGGCUGGAAGUGUGACAGAGUGAUUCAGGGAGCAUGAGAUCAUCAUUUUCACACAUGGAUUGAGAGUUCACCACAAAGUCCAGACCUUAACCUUAUUGAGAAACUUUGGGAUGUGCUAGAUGGAGAAGACUUUGUGCAGUGGUCAGACUCUACCAUCAUCAAUGCUGCAAGAUCUUGGUGAAAAAUGUAUGCAACACAGGAUUGAAAUAAAUCUUGUCACAUUGCAUAAGCUUAUCA